ACCUCCCAACAGGAAGUAGGCACAUGAAGCCUCCCAACAGGAGGUGCAUCUGCUGAGAAAUGCUGGCGAUGAAGUUACCAUCACCGUUGAGUAUCUCAGGGAAGCGCCGGCAUUUCUGAAGCUCCCGUUAGGGUCCCCAGGGCCAUCCAGCGACCACAGCAGUGGGGCCUCCUCUCCCCUCUUUGACAGCGGUUUGCAUCUGAAUGGAAACUCCAGUACCACAGCCCCAUCGUCACCUUCCUCGCCCAUAGCUAAGGACCCGAGGUAUGAGAAGCGCUGGCUGGACACCUUGUCCGUGCCUCUGUCCAUGGCUCGCAUCUCAAGGUACAAAGCCGGAACGGAAAAAUUAAGAUUGUAACGGAGCUGAAAAUCCCUACUGCCUGGUGACAUCAACCAUCGUAACCUCACAGUGAAAGAUAUGACUCACGUGUUUGUGGUGAUGUUGACAUAGACAAACCUACUGCACUGCCAGUCAUAUAAAAGGAAACAGUAAUGUCCUGGACCUUCACAUUCACUCACUCCUCACUCAUGGCUUCACCCAGAACAACUUCCAGUCCUGAAGGCUCUAUUCAUGGCACUCACCUUAUUUCAGAAGGAGAAGGCAGAUGGGCUCUAUAGUAGUCAUAAUGGAAACAGACCUACUGCAGAUAAGCAGAUUUUGAAAAGUGAUACUGCAAGUCAGAAUUAUACUGCUAAAUACUCUAAUUUGUUUUGCAAAGGAGAGUAUCAUGUUUAAAUAGUCAUACCAAA
Molecule: small RNA, 750 nt
Filed under: Pan troglodytes (chimpanzee)
Lineage: Eukaryota; Metazoa; Chordata; Mammalia; Primates; Hominidae
Description: processed transcript
Source: RNAcentral